RNAcentral lists this non-coding RNA (30 nucleotides) under Mus musculus (house mouse). Lineage: Eukaryota; Metazoa; Chordata; Mammalia; Rodentia; Muridae. The record is from RNAcentral.
UACAGAAAUGUGCAGACAUCGACAUGAUGC